RNAcentral lists this transfer RNA (85 nucleotides) under Flavobacteriales bacterium. RNAcentral describes it as "tRNA-Leu(gag)". It matches the Rfam family "tRNA". Rfam says of the family: Transfer RNA (tRNA) molecules are approximately 80 nucleotides in length. Their secondary structure includes four short double-helical elements and three loops (D, anti-codon, and T loops). The record is from RNAcentral. Lineage: Bacteria; Pseudomonadati; Bacteroidota; Flavobacteriia; Flavobacteriales.
GCCCAGGUGCUGAAAUUGGUAGACAGGCAUGGUUGAGGGCCAUGUGUCCGUUAGGGCGUGCGGGUUCGAGUCCCGCCCUGGGCAC